AGCAACUUGGAUGUUGGAAGUCACUUCUACUGCACAAGAAAUAGCUUUGGGGGUUGAUUUUACUGAUAUUUACAGAAAUUCAGAACUGUACAGGAGAAACAAAGAAGUUAUUAAAGAAAUAAGCACUCCUGCUCCUGGUUCCAAGGACUUAUUUUUCCCUACACAGUAUUCACAGUCAUUUUUCAUCCAAUGUGUAGCUUGCUUAUGGAAGCAACAUUGGUCAUACUGGCGCAAUGAACGAUACAAUGCUACUAGAUUCAUCUACACUGGGUUUAUAGCCAUAAUCUUUGGGACAAUGUUCUGGAAGCUUGGCUCCAAAAUGAAAAAGCAACAAGAUCUUUUCAAUGCAAUGGGUUCGAUGUAUACUGCUAUUAUUUUUAUUGGGAUAAAAAAUGCAUCGACAGUGCAGCCAAUAGUGGCUGUUGAAAGAAUUGUCUUCUACAGAGAGAGAGCUGCUGGAAUG
RNAcentral lists this unclassified non-coding RNA (463 nucleotides) under Hevea brasiliensis (rubber tree). Lineage: Eukaryota; Viridiplantae; Streptophyta; Magnoliopsida; Malpighiales; Euphorbiaceae. The record is from RNAcentral.